This is a small nuclear RNA of Raphanus sativus (radish), 103 nucleotides long. The record is from RefSeq and is a predicted model, not a curated record. NCBI's taxonomy places the organism in Eukaryota, Viridiplantae, Streptophyta, Magnoliopsida, Brassicales, Brassicaceae.
GUCCCUUCGGAGACAUCCAAUUAAAUUGGAACAAUACAUAUAAGAUUAGCAUUGUCCAUGUGCAAUGAUGACACACACAAAUUGAGAACUGAUACAAAUUUAA